UUAAAGUAGUAAGGGCGCAGGGUGGAUGCCUUGGCACUAAGAGCCGAUGAAAGACGUGAUAAGCUGCGAAAAGCUUCGGGGAGGAGCACAUAUCCAAUGAUCCGGAGAUAUCUGAAUGGGGAAACCCGGCAGAGGAAACCUCUGUCAGCGUGCAGUGAAUACAUAGCUGUACGUGGGGAACCCGGGGAACUGAAACAUCUAAGUACCCGGAGGAAGAGAAAGAAAAUUUAUCGAUUUCCAAAGUAGCGGCGAGCGAAAUGGAAAGAGCCCAAACCGUGAUGCGUGCAUCGCGGGGUUCGGACUGCGUUGUGGCAGACGUAAGAUAGGAGAACGGACUGGGAAGUCCGGCCGGAGAGAGUGAAAGCCUCGUAUCCGAAAUCCCAAGUCGCCUAGCAGGAUCCAGAGUAGGACGAGACACGAGAAACCUUGUCUGAAUGAGCGGGGACCACCCCGUAAGGCUAAAUACUUCUUAGUGACCGAUAGCGCAUAGUACUGUGAAGGAAAGGUGAAAAGUACCCCGGGAGGGGAGUGAAAGAGAACCUGAAACCCUGUGUCUACAAGCUGUGGGACCUCUUUAUAUGAGGGACUGCGUACUUUUUGUAGAACGGUCCGGCGAGUUGUGCGUACUGGCGAGGUUAAGGACUUAAGGUCCGGAGCCGAAGUGAAAGCAAGCGUUAAUAGCGCGUCAAGUCAGUGAGUGCAGACCCGAAACCGGGUGACCUAUCCAUGUCCAGGUUGAAGCUUCCGUAAGAGGAAGUGGAGGACCGAACCCACAUCCGUUGAAAAGGGUGGGGAUGAGGUGUGGAUAGCGGAGAAAUUCCAAUCGAACCCGGAGAUAGCUGGUUCUCCUCGAAAUAGCUUUAGGGCUAGCCUCAUGAGAGUCUUAUGGAGGUAGAGCACUGAAUUGCCUAGGGGGCGUCAAAGCUUACCAAAGCAUAUCAAACUCCGAAUGCCAUCAAGAUGAUUCAUGGGAGUCAGACCAUACGAGAUAAGUUGGAUGGUCAAAAGGGAAAGAGCCCAGACCUACAGCUAAGGUCCCAAAGUACGUGUUAAGUGGAAAAGGAUGUGGGGAUUCUAAGACAACUAGGACGUUGGCUUAGAAGCAGCCAUUCAUUGAAAGAGUGCGUAAUAGCUCACUAGUCGAGAGUCCCUGCGCCGAAAAUGUCCGGGGCUGAAACACGACACCGAAGCUUAGGAAUGUGUAAACAUUGGUAGAGGAGCAUUGCUGGCGGGAUGAAGCCAUACCGUAAGGAGUGGUGGACUGCCAGGAAGAGAGAAUGCCGGAAUGAGUAGCGAGAUGAAGGUGAGAAUCCUUCAGGCCGAAUAUCUAAGGUUUCCAGAGUAAAGCUGAUCUGCUCUGGGUAAGUCGGGACCUAAGGCGAGGUCGAAAGACGUAGUCGAUGGAUAACAGGUUGAAAUUCCUGUACCGCAUAUAAACAGAACUGUGGGGACACAGACAGGGAAUGGAAUCCGGGAGUGGAAAUCCCGGUGCAAGCGAGGUAGGAGUGCUGUUGGCAAAUCCGCAGCACGAUCUGAAGACGUGACGCGUACCGAACAUAAGUAGGGAAGUCCAGGCCCCUGGCUGUCAAGAAAAGCCGCUAUUGUUUUAUAUGUGCCCGUACCGCAAACCGACACAGGUGGAUGAGGAGAGAAUCCUAAGGCCGACGGGAGAAGUAUUGUUAAGGAACUCGGCAAAAUGACUCCGUAACUUCGGGAGAAGGAGUGCCAUGAGAGUGGCCGCAGAGAAAUGGCCCAAGCAACUGUUUAGCAAAAACACAGGUCUAUGCAAAACCGCAAGGUGAAGUAUAUGGGCUGACGCCUGCCCGGUGCUGGAAGGUUAAGGGGAGAGGUUAGCGCAAGCGAAGCUUUGAACUUAAGCCCCAGUAAACGGCGGCCGUAACUAUAACGGUCCUAAGGUAGCGAAAUUCCUUGUCGGGUAAGUUCCGACCCGCACGAAAGGCGUAAUGAUUUGGGCACUGUCUCAACGAUACACCCGGUGAAAUUGAAAUACCAGUGAAGAUGCUGGUUACCUGCGCCAGGACGGAAAGACCCCAUGGAGCUUUACUCCAGUUUGAUACUGGGAUACGGCAUGGUAUGUACAGGAUAGGUGGGAGACUGA
This 2119-nucleotide ribosomal RNA is filed under the name human gut metagenome. Its description in RNAcentral is "bacterial LSU rRNA". It matches the Rfam family "Bacterial large subunit ribosomal RNA", at positions 1 to 2158 of the family's 2925-position model. The record is from RNAcentral.